Molecule: small RNA, 85 nt
Filed under: Salmonella enterica
Lineage: Bacteria; Pseudomonadati; Pseudomonadota; Gammaproteobacteria; Enterobacterales; Enterobacteriaceae
Also listed under: 2 other names
Description: partial RtT sRNA
Rfam family: RtT RNA
About the family: This family represents a bacterial cis-regulatory element known as RtT RNA.
Source: RNAcentral
UCGAGCGAAAGCGAGAAAGCGUUGCCGCAGGCAACGACCCGAAGGGCGAAACGCGCAGCGCUGAGUCAUCCUUCCCCCACCACCA